ACGCCGACUCUUUGUGGCUGAG
This 22-nucleotide unclassified non-coding RNA is filed under the name Mus musculus (house mouse). RNAcentral describes it as "oocyte_clustered_small_RNA224". The record is from RNAcentral. Lineage: Eukaryota; Metazoa; Chordata; Mammalia; Rodentia; Muridae.